RNAcentral lists this unclassified non-coding RNA (443 nucleotides) under Hevea brasiliensis (rubber tree). The record is from RNAcentral. Lineage: Eukaryota; Viridiplantae; Streptophyta; Magnoliopsida; Malpighiales; Euphorbiaceae.
AGGGGCAAUUGGGCGUUGACAAAUUUACCAAAAACUGUGAGUGGUUGACCUAUAUUUGCCGGUGAUAGGGGCGAAGGAGGAGAGUGCAUGGCCAAACCCUAAGCCAAGUCAAGAACACAAGCAAUGCUAAUAUACUAUAUCAAUCCACCACAUGCAAAGGACAACAUCUCAAUCUAUAAUCUUGUUUGUUGAAAGGGAUCAGCCAUGUGCACAAACAGAAAAUGCAAACUCAUACGUGAAGUUUUUGACUUCAAAUUCCCCACUGCUUUGUGAAAAUGGCUGUCUCUAUCAUUCUUAGCAUUUUUAGGAAUACCCAUUAGAUUAUGCUGCGAAGUAGUGGAACCAUAAGUGGUGGAAAAGAAGAGAACUUUCACUUUCCUUGAAGUAUUAUAUUGUGGUGGACCAAAUGGAAUCAAGUUUCCUGUGUAGUGAUAAUGAUUAAG